This 439-nucleotide ribosomal RNA is filed under the name uncultured bacterium. RNAcentral describes it as "partial 16S ribosomal RNA". It matches the Rfam family "Bacterial small subunit ribosomal RNA", at positions 338 to 795 of the family's 1533-position model. The record is from RNAcentral.
CCUACGGGAGGCAGCAGUGGGGGAUAUUGCGCAAUGGAGGAAACUCUGAUGCAGCGACGCCGCGUGACGGAAGACGGUCUUCGGAUUGUAAACCUCUGUCUUUGGGGAAGAAAAUGACGGUACCCAAAGAGGAAGCUCCGGCUAACUACGUGCCAGCAGCCGCGGUAAUACGUAGGGAGAGAGCGUUGUCCGGAAUUACUGGGUGAAAAGGGAGCGUAGGCGGGCGAGAAAGUUGAAUGUUAAAUCUAGCGGCUUAACUGGUAGCUGCGUUCAAAACUUCUUGUCUUGAGUGAAGUAGAGGCAGGCGGAAUUCCUAGUGUAGCGGUGAAAUGCGUAGAUAUUAGGAGGAACACCAGUGGCGAAGGCGGCCUGCUGGGCUUUAACUGACGCUGAGGCUCGAAAGCGUGGGGAGCAAACAGGAUUAGAUACCCUAGUAGUC